This 509-nucleotide ribosomal RNA is filed under the name uncultured bacterium. RNAcentral's name for it is "bacterial SSU rRNA". It matches the Rfam family "Bacterial small subunit ribosomal RNA", at positions 8 to 507 of the family's 1533-position model. The record is from RNAcentral.
AGAGUUUGAUCAUGGCUCAGAUUGAACGCUGGCGGCAUGCUUUACACAUGCAAGUCGAACGGCAGCGCGGGGGGCAACCCCGUGCGGGGGCGAGUGGCGAACGGGUGAGUAAUGCAUCGGAACGUAUCCUGUAAUGGGGGAUAACGUAGCGAAAGUUACGCUAAUACCGCAUACGCUCGAGAGAGGAAAUGGGGGAUCGCAAGACCUCACGUUAUAGGAGCGGCCGAUGUCCGAUUAGCUAGUUGGUGGGGUAAAGGCCUACCAAGGCGACGAUCGGUAGCAGGUCUGAGAGGAUGAUCAGCCACACUGGGACUGAGACACGGCCCAGACUCCUACGGGAGGCAGCAGUGGGGAAUUUUGGACAAUGGGCGAAAGCCUGAUCCAGCCAUGCCGCGUGCGGGAAGAAGGCCUUCGGGUUGUAAACCGCUUUAGUCCGGGAAAAAGGGGUGCUAGGAUAAUACCCUCGUGCUUUGAUGGUACUGGAAGAAUAAGCACCGGCUAACUACGUG